GACGAACGCUGGCGGCGUGCUUAACACAUGCAAGUCGAACGGAAAGGCCCUGCUUUUGUGGGGUGCUCGAGUGGCGAACGGGUGAGUAACACGUGAGUAACCUGCCCUUGACUUUGGGAUAACUUCAGGAAACUGGGGCUAAUACCGGAUAGGAGCUCCUGCUGCAUGGUGGGGGUUGGAAAGUUUCGGCGGUUGGGGAUGGACUCGCGGCUUAUCAGCUUGUUGGUGGGGUAGUGGCUUACCAAGGCUUUGACGGGUAGCCGGCCUGAGUGGGUGACCGGCCACAUUGGGACUGAGAUACGGCCCAGACUCCUACGGGAGGCAGCAGUGGGGAAUAUUGCACAAUGGGCGGAAGCCUGAUGCAGCAACGCCGCGUGCGGGAUGACGGCCUUCGGGUUGUAAACCGCUUUCGCCUGUGACGAAGCGUGAGUGACGGUAAUGGGUAAAGAAGCACCGGCUAACUACGUG
RNAcentral lists this ribosomal RNA (468 nucleotides) under uncultured bacterium. RNAcentral describes it as "partial 16S ribosomal RNA". It matches the Rfam family "Bacterial small subunit ribosomal RNA", at positions 28 to 507 of the family's 1533-position model. The record is from RNAcentral.